RNAcentral lists this long non-coding RNA (811 nucleotides) under Bos taurus (domestic cattle). RNAcentral describes it as "long non-coding RNA NONBTAT000605". Lineage: Eukaryota; Metazoa; Chordata; Mammalia; Artiodactyla; Bovidae. The record is from RNAcentral.
AAAGUCUGAAAUAAAUUAAUUUUAUUAACAGAAAAAAAAAGUUGGUUAUUCAGCUCUGACUGGGAUUAUAAAGUACAAUCUUUUAUCAUGAGUAUUCUCACCAUGCCACAGAGAAAGAGGCAGUAAGGGACUGAUUAGAGGAAGUGUUAUCUUCUCUGGCAGUGUUAUCUUAUAAUGCAAUAUAAACAUACGAUCUUACAGAUCAGAAUACUUCUUGGAGAGGUGUAGCUUGUAGCUUGUUUUAUAAUACCUAAGUAUUAGAAAUAUAGUCAUUGUAUGAAUUACAAGAGGAAAAGGAAGAAGAAAUGGCAAUUCAUGAAAAUCCAUACCUAGACUACAUCCAUAUCAAGUCUUACCACAUUAUAGAAUUCUUAAUUUACUUGCCAAUGCUGUUUUAAAAUACUACUUCAGUAGUCUUACACUCAUAUUGGAUGAAAAUCACACACAUCACCUAACCCUGGUGGUUUAUGUUAAACCAAAUCCUUAUCUGCCUCUAGCUCCUGCUGUAUUUCAAGUGUCUGAAUCCUGGUUGGGAUGAAAAUGCCCCUGAGGCAGAAAUGUUUCUUCAUGUUCAACCAGGCAGAUUAGACCCAAAGUGCUAAGUACAUAAUUUCAAGCAUGUGUUCUGAAACUGUUUAAAGCCACAGUAAACUAUAAAAGGCAAUUUCACAGAUACUCUUUUUGAAAGUGAAUAUAAACAUUAAACUCGAUAUUUUGCCUCGAGUAGUUUUUUUACAUUAUAGAGGAUUAAAAUCUGAUGCACAUUUUGCAACUCUCACUAUAAAAUUACUAUCCUAAAUUCAUCAAGACU